This 490-nucleotide ribosomal RNA is filed under the name uncultured bacterium. Its description in RNAcentral is "bacterial SSU rRNA". It matches the Rfam family "Bacterial small subunit ribosomal RNA", at positions 28 to 517 of the family's 1533-position model. The record is from RNAcentral.
GAUGAACGCUGGCGGCGUGCUUAACACAUGCAAGUCGAACGAAGCGCCUCAGAUUGAUUUCUUCGGAAAGAUUUCUUUGGUGACUGAGUGGCGGACGGGUGAGUAACGCGUGGGUAACCUGCCUCAUACAGGGGGAUAACAGUUAGAAAUGACUGCUAAUACCGCAUAAGCGCACAGUGCCGCAUGGUACGGUGUGAAAAACUCCGGUGGUAUGAGAUGGACCCGCGUCUGAUUAGCUCGUUGGCGGGGUAACGGCCCACCAAGGCGACGAUCAGUAGCCGACCUGAGAGGGUGAUCGGCCACAUUGGGACUGAGACACGGCCCAAACUCCUACGGGAGGCAGCAGUGGGGAAUAUUGCACAAUGGGGGAAACCCUGAUGCAGCGACGCCGCGUGAAGGAAGACGUAUUUCGGAUGUAAACUUCUAUCAGCAAGGAAGAUGAUGACGGUACUUGACUAAGAAGCCCCGGNUAACUACGUGCCAGCAGCCG